GACUCUCGGCAAUGGAUAUCUCGGCUCUUGCAUCGAUGGAGAACGUAGCAAAAUGCGAUACUUGGUGUGAAUUACAAAAUCCCGUGAACUAUCGAGUCUUUGAACGCAAGUCGCAUGGUGUCCGGUAUGCCCGCGGCGGCCCUU
This 144-nucleotide ribosomal RNA is filed under the name Gossypium hirsutum (cotton). RNAcentral's name for it is "5.8S ribosomal RNA". It matches the Rfam family "5.8S ribosomal RNA". Rfam says of the family: 5.8S ribosomal RNA (5.8S rRNA) is a component of the large subunit of the eukaryotic ribosome. It is transcribed by RNA polymerase I as part of the 45S precursor that also contains 18S and 28S rRNA. Lineage: Eukaryota; Viridiplantae; Streptophyta; Magnoliopsida; Malvales; Malvaceae. The record is from Rfam by way of RNAcentral.